RNAcentral lists this ribosomal RNA (176 nucleotides) under uncultured bacterium. RNAcentral describes it as "partial 16S ribosomal RNA". It matches the Rfam family "Bacterial small subunit ribosomal RNA", at positions 1325 to 1500 of the family's 1533-position model. The record is from RNAcentral.
GUUGGAAUUGCUAGUAAUCGCGAAUCAGAAUGUCGCGGUGAAUACGUUCCCGGGCCUUGUACACACCGCCCGUCACACCAUGAGAGUCGAUAACACCCGAAGCCUGUGAACUAACCGCAAGGGGGCAGCAGUCGAAGGUGGGGUUGAUGAUUGGGGUGAAGUCGUAACAAGGUAUC